Molecule: non-coding RNA, 94 nt
Organism: Amylostereum chailletii
Lineage: Eukaryota; Fungi; Basidiomycota; Agaricomycetes; Russulales; Stereaceae
Source: the annotation of a GenBank genome assembly
GGCUUUGUAGUGUGGUGGUUAUCACAGCGGAUUCUGAUGCCGCUUCCCGCGAAUAUCACUUCCGCUAACCCAGGUUCGAGUCCUGGCAAGGCCU